AUGCUUACUUCGGCAGCAUUUAUACUAAAAUUGGAACUAUACAGAGAAGAUUAGCAUGACCCUUGUGCAAGGAUGACAUACAAAUUUGCAAAGCAUUCCAUAUUUUU
Kogia breviceps (pygmy sperm whale) is the source of this 107-nucleotide small nuclear RNA. The record is from RefSeq and is a predicted model, not a curated record. NCBI's taxonomy places the organism in Eukaryota, Metazoa, Chordata, Mammalia, Artiodactyla, Physeteridae.